RNA transcript from Camelus dromedarius (Arabian camel), 2021 nucleotides. RefSeq lists it as uncharacterized. Lineage: Eukaryota; Metazoa; Chordata; Mammalia; Artiodactyla; Camelidae. The transcript has a single exon. The record is from RefSeq and is a predicted model, not a curated record.
AUGCACUUGGAGCCUGGGGCCAGACUGGUGCUAACACUGCAAACUUUGUCGAGAGCUCUCUCCAAUCUGAAGGCUUGCUGGGGGCGCAAUGUCACCGUCACAACGCUGGGCCCUUUCAGAAAAGUGCCAGAUCGUGUCACUGGUGCUAUUUUUCAUGCUCUGGUACAAUGUGUAGCACCACAGGGGUCUCAGCUUUACCAAAAUCAAAAUCCCGUUUGUCAGCUAAUUGCAGGGGCAUUUGGUUUUUUUCUUUUUUUGCUCUCCUCACCCAGGAUUUGUUGGCCAUUUCUUUGCAGGCCUCUUCUCCCAGCCCUGCGCUCUCGGGUUGGCUCUGUUUAGUGAGCCCAUCUUUAUGAAGCUGCACUCAGGUGCCUGUGAGCUGUCUUAGAUCCCACGCCAGCCCUUCAGGACUGCGAGCCAGGGAAAAGCUCUACGCCCCUAUGGCUCUUGCCUCUGGUUUCUUCCCUCAUUCUCUUCCUCUGUUCUUCCCCUCCUAGUUCCAGCUCAUUCCAUUUCUCUUUUUGUGUACCUCUCCUUUCUCCUUCCUUCCUGUCCUCUCUGGUUUUCUCCUACAUUCCCUUUUCACUCCUUCCCCUGCACUCCCCCAUCUCUCUGUCUGUCUCUCCUUUAGUCUAGUCUCUUCCUGUUCCUUUCUCCACCUUUCCUGUCCUUUCUCUUCUCACGUCUCUGAUCAUAUCCUCUCCCGUCACCAACUCCUUAAUUUUCCUGUCCUAUAAGGGCUCACGGCUGAUUCAGACAGCAAGUCCGUACACUGGACUCAUGACACAAAUUCUUUGGGUCACCGUUUUAUCUAGGCAGCCCAGAAAGCCAAGCUGAGCAUGAAUGAGGUCCUGCCCUGGAUCCAGCUCCAGCGCACCUCACUGAGCCAGCCUGCACCGCUGCCCUGGCAGUGACGAUGCAUGUGCUCUGGGCGCUGCCGGCACCUGGGUGCCUCUCUGCCUGAAGCCUGGUCCAAAGUGAGCCCACGCCUGGCACCAUCCCACGGCUCUGAGGACACUUCUUUUCACUAAAGGCAGACUCUGGCCCCGACAAUUAUUCUGACAGCAAACCUCUUCCUUCUCCUGGAAGCCAUGCCAUCACCUUGGUUUGGAGAGAGAGUUUUUUUUUCCCAUUCAUAAGCUUUCUUUUUCCUACUUUCAUGUGAGCUCCCUCUGCUUUUCAGCUGGUGAUUGCUCUGGUGAGAUUGAAUAGACUUGCUGUUGAAAUUACAUCUCUUUUUUCCUGUCUUGGUCCUGCCUAAAUUCCUACAAAAAUAUUAAAGUCAAAGACUCAGGCUAGUUCCUAAGUUUAUGAUAGUAACUUGUCACUCCUAAGGGGACAAAAGGGGAUAUUUCCCUUAGAGCAUGUGGAGUACCUCCCAUGACAACUGAUUUGAAAGAGGACUCCCUACAGAACUCUGUGGAUACCCAUUUUACUUCUGUGUCUGUAUGGUCUAUGUGGUAUAUGUAUCAUGUAUACACAUACUACAUUGGGUACAAAUGAAUGUGGAUGGAAACCCACACACACACUUUAGUCUGUAAAUAUCCUUCCUCACUGAAAACUGUGCUUCGGAAAUCAUUUCUUGUACAGCUGUGCAGUUUCUUGUAGCAGCUGAGGACAAGCUGAGACAGGUGAAGGAUUUAGACAAAGACCAUCUGAAAGGUAGAAUACAGAAUCUCCCUAACAACUCAUGAGGACAGACAACCAAAUGGCAAGGUUGACUCCCAAUGAGAUGGCAAACUUCUCUCCUUUUUGAACCUGUGUUUCCUAACCAUGUCUUACCUUCUGAGUGCACCAGGCUGUACGCGUGAGAUCUGUUCAAUAUGACAGUUUUGUGCUUCUCUCUGACAGGAUGCUUCUCCCUCGAGCUGUUGUGCAGGAUGGGAGGGAGGGGGGCAUACUCCUUGCCUGGGCUGGAGUUUACAGAGAUACUGCACAGCUUACACUCCUGUUAAGUGUAAAUAUUCCACACUUCCAUUCCAUUUGUGUAAAAAAUAAAGCACACACGGUUAUAAAAUCAA